This 549-nucleotide unclassified non-coding RNA is filed under the name Fusarium verticillioides. Its description in RNAcentral is "sequence contains 18S rRNA gene, ITS1, 5.8S rRNA gene, ITS2, 28S rRNA gene". The stretch from base 194 to 347 matches the Rfam family "5.8S ribosomal RNA". The record is from RNAcentral. Lineage: Eukaryota; Fungi; Ascomycota; Sordariomycetes; Hypocreales; Nectriaceae.
AGUCGUAACAAGGUCUCCGUUGGUGAACCAGCGGAGGGAUCAUUACCGAGUUUACAACUCCCAAACCCCUGUGAACAUACCAAUUGUUGCCUCGGCGGAUCAGCCCGCUCCCGGUAAAACGGGACGGCCCGCCAGAGGACCCCUAAACUCUGUUUCUAUAUGUAACUUCUGAGUAAAACCAUAAAUAAAUCAAAACUUUCAACAACGGAUCUCUUGGUUCUGGCAUCGAUGAAGAACGCAGCAAAAUGCGAUAAGUAAUGUGAAUUGCAGAAUUCAGUGAAUCAUCGAAUCUUUGAACGCACAUUGCGCCCGCCAGUAUUCUGGCGGGCAUGCCUGUUCGAGCGUCAUUUCAACCCUCAAGCCCAGCUUGGUGUUGGGACUCGCGAGUCAAAUCGCGUUCCCCAAAUUGAUUGGCGGUCACGUCGAGCUUCCAUAGCGUAGUAGUAAAACCCUCGUUACUGGUAAUCGUCGCGGCCACGCCGUUAAACCCCAACUUCUGAAUGUUGACCUCGGAUCAGGUAGGAAUACCCGCUGAACCUAAGCAUAUCA